RNAcentral lists this ribosomal RNA (440 nucleotides) under uncultured bacterium. Its description in RNAcentral is "partial 16S ribosomal RNA". It matches the Rfam family "Bacterial small subunit ribosomal RNA", at positions 338 to 795 of the family's 1533-position model. The record is from RNAcentral.
CCUACGGGAGGCUGCAGUGGGGGAUAUUGCACAAUGGGGGGAACCCUGAUGCAGCGACGCCGCGUGGGUGAAGAAGCGCCUCGGCGCGUAAAGCCCUGUCAGCAGGGAAGAAAAUGACGGUACGUGACGAAGAAGCCCCGGCUAACUACGUGCCAGCAGCCGCGGUAAUACGUAGGGGGCAAGCGUUAUCCGGAUUUACUGGGUGUAAAGGGGGCGCAGACGGCGAUGCAAGCCAGGAGUGAAAGCCCGGGGCCCAACCCCGGGACUGCUCUUGGAACUGCGUGGCUGGAGUGCAGGAGGGGCAGGCGGAAUUCCUGGUGUAGCGGUGAAAUGCGUAGAUAUCAGGAGGAACACCGGUGGCGAAGGCGGCCUACUGGACUGCAACUGACGUUGAGGCCCGAAAGCGUGGGGAGCAAACAGGAUUAGAUACCCGAGUAGUC